CCUACGGGAGGCAGCAGUGAGGAAUAUUGGUCAAUGGGCGCGAGCCUGAACCAGCCAAGCAGCGUGAAGGAUGACUGCCCUACGGGUUGUAAACUUCUUUUAUAAAGGAAUAAAGUGAGGCACGUGUGCCUUUUUGUAUGUACUUUAUGAAUAAGGAUCGGCUAACUCCGUGCCAGCAGCCGCGGUAAUACGGAGGAUCCGAGCGUUGUCCGGAUUUAUUGGGUUUAAAGGGAGCGUAGAUGGGUUGUUAAGUCAGUUGUGAAAGUUUGCGGCUCAACCGUAGAAUUGCAAUUGAUACUGGCGGUCUUGAGUACAGUUGAGGUAGAAGGAAUGUGUGGUGUAGCGGUGAAAUGCAUAGAUAUCACACAGAACACCGAUUGCGAAGGCAGCUCACUAAACCGCGAUUGACGCUGAGGCACGAAAGCGUGGGUAUCAAACAGGAUUAGAUACCCCUGUAGUC
Molecule: ribosomal RNA, 460 nt
Filed under: uncultured bacterium
Lineage: Bacteria
Description: partial 16S ribosomal RNA
Rfam family: Bacterial small subunit ribosomal RNA
Source: RNAcentral